CCUACGGGAGGCAGCAGUGAGGAAUAUUGGUCAAUGGGCGCGAGCCUGAACCAGCCAAGUAGCGUGAAGGAUGACUGCCCUACGGGUUGUAAACUUCUUUUAUACGGGAAUAAAGUGAGUCACGUGUGCCGUUUUGUAUGUACCUUAUGAAUAAGGACCGGCUAAUUCCGUGCCAGCAGCCGCGGUAAUACGGAGGAUCCGAGCGUUAUCCGGAUUUAUUGGGUUUAAAGGGAGCGUAGUCGGGAUGUUAAGGCAGUUGUGAAAGUUUGCGGCUCAACCAUAGAAUUGCAGUUGAUACUGGCAGGCUUGAGUACGGUUGAGGUAGGCGGAAUUCGUGGUGUAGCGGUGAAAUGCUUAGAUAUCACGAAGAACUCCGAUUGCGAAGGCAGCCUACUGAACUGCCACUGACGUUGAUGCUCGAAAGUGUGGGUAUCAAACAGGAUUAGAUACCCGAGUAGUC
RNAcentral lists this ribosomal RNA (460 nucleotides) under uncultured bacterium. RNAcentral describes it as "partial 16S ribosomal RNA". It matches the Rfam family "Bacterial small subunit ribosomal RNA", at positions 338 to 795 of the family's 1533-position model. The record is from RNAcentral.